GAUGAACGCUGGCGGCGUGCCUAAUACAUGCAAGUCGAGCGAACGGACGAGAAGCUUGCUUCUCUGAUGUUAGCGGCGGACGGGUGAGUAACACGUGGAUAACCUACCUAUAAGACUGGGAUAACUUCGGGAAACCGGAGCUAAUACCGGAUGAUAUUUUGAACCGCAUGGUUCAAAAGAGAAAGACGGUCUUGCUGUCACUUAUAGAUGGAUCCGAGCUGCAUUAGCUAGUUGGUAAGGUAACGGCUUACCAAGGCAACGAUGCAUAGCCGACCUGAGAGGGUGAUCGGCCACACUGGAACUGAGACACGGUCCAGACUCCUACGGGAGGCAGCAGUAGGGAAUCUUCCGCAAUGGGCGAAAGCCUGACGGAGCAACGCCGCGUGAGUGAUGAAGGUCUUCGGAUCGUAAAACUCUGUUAUUAGGGAAGAACAUAUGUGUAAGUAACUGUGCACAUCUUGACGGUACCUAAUCAGAAAGCCACGGCUAACUACGUG
Molecule: ribosomal RNA, 497 nt
Filed under: uncultured bacterium
Lineage: Bacteria
Description: partial 16S ribosomal RNA
Rfam family: Bacterial small subunit ribosomal RNA
Source: RNAcentral